AUUGAACGCUGGCGGCAGGCCUAACACAUGCAAGUCGAACGAGUGGCGGACGGGUGAGUAAUGUCUGGGAAACUGCCCGAUGGAGGGGGAUAACUACUGGAAACGGUAGCUAAUACCGCAUACCAUCGGAUGUGCCCAGAGGGGAUGAGCUAGUAGGCGGGGUAACGGCUCACCUGGGCGACGAUCCCUAGCGGGUCUGAGAGGAUGACGGGCCAAAUGGGAAUGGAGAAACGGUCCGGACUCCAACGGAGGGCAGCAGUGGGAAAUAUUGCACAAGGGGGGCAAGCCUGAUGCAGCAAUGCCGCGUAUAUGAAGAGGGCCUUCGGGUUGUAAAGUACUUUCAGCGGGGAGGCGUUACUCGCAGAGAAAGCACCGGCUAACUCCGUGCCAGCCGCCGCGGUAAUAC
Molecule: ribosomal RNA, 406 nt
Filed under: uncultured bacterium
Lineage: Bacteria
Description: partial 16S ribosomal RNA
Rfam family: Bacterial small subunit ribosomal RNA
Source: RNAcentral